RNAcentral lists this ribosomal RNA (599 nucleotides) under uncultured bacterium. RNAcentral's name for it is "bacterial SSU rRNA". It matches the Rfam family "Bacterial small subunit ribosomal RNA", at positions 40 to 637 of the family's 1533-position model. The record is from RNAcentral.
GGGCAGGCCUACACAUGCAAGUCGAGCGGUAACAGAUCCAGCUUGCUGGAUGCUGACGAGCGGCGGACGGGUGAGUAACGCAUAGGAAUUUACCCGAUAGUGGGGGAUAACCUGGGGAAACUCAGGCUAAUACCGCAUACGUCCUACGGGAGAAAGGGGGCUCCGGCUCCCGCUAUCGGAUGAGCCUAUGCCGGAUUAGCUGGUUGGUGAGGUAAUGGCUCACCAAGGCGACGAUCCGUAGCUGGUCUGAGAGGAUGAUCAGCCACAUCGGGACUGAGACACGGCCCGAACUCCUACGGGAGGCAGCAGUGGGGAAUAUUGGACAAUGGGGGCAACCCUGAUCCAGCCAUGCCGCGUGUGUGAAGAAGGCCCUCGGGUUGUAAAGCACUUUCAGCGAGGAAGAACGCCUGGCGGUUAAUACCCGCCAGGAAAGACAUCACUCGCAGAAGAAGCACCGGCUAACUCCGUGCCAGCAGCCGCGGUAAUACGGAGGGUGCAAGCGUUAAUCGGAAUUACUGGGCGUAAAGCGCGCGUAGGUGGCUUGAUAAGCCGGUUGUGAAAGCCCCGGGCUCAACCUGGGAACGGCAUCCGGAACUGUC